UACGUAGGGGGCUAGCGUUGUCCGGAUUUAUUGGGCGUAAAGAGCGUGUAGGCGGCCAGGUAGGUCCGGUGUGAAAACUCGAGGCUUAACCUCGAGAUGUCAUCGGAAACCAUUUGGCUAGAGUCCGGAAGAGGAAAGUGGAAUUCCUGGUGUAGCGGUGAAAUGCGCAGAUAUCAGGAAGAACACCAAUGGCGAAAGCAGCUUUCUGGGACGGUACUGACGCUGAGACGCGAAAGCGUGGGGAGCGAACAGG
RNAcentral lists this ribosomal RNA (253 nucleotides) under uncultured bacterium. RNAcentral describes it as "partial 16S ribosomal RNA". It matches the Rfam family "Bacterial small subunit ribosomal RNA", at positions 524 to 776 of the family's 1533-position model. The record is from RNAcentral.